Molecule: ribosomal RNA, 960 nt
Filed under: Sphingobacterium sp. 1.A.4
Lineage: Bacteria; Pseudomonadati; Bacteroidota; Sphingobacteriia; Sphingobacteriales; Sphingobacteriaceae
Also listed under: 1 other name
Description: bacterial SSU rRNA
Source: RNAcentral
UGGAGGGCUGAAUGUACCCGGAGAAUAAGGAUCGGCUAACUCCGUGCCAGCAGCCGCGGUAAUACGGAGGAUCCGAGCGUUAUCCGGAUUUAUUGGGUUUAAAGGGUGCGUAGGCGGCACUUUAAGUCAGGGGUGAAAGACGGCAGCUCAACUGUCGCAGUGCCCUUGAUACUGAAGUGCUUGAAUGCGGUUGAAGACGGCGGAAUGAGACAAGUAGCGGUGAAAUGCAUAGAUAUGUCUCAGAACACCGAUUGCGAAGGCAGCUGUCUAAGCCGUUAUUGACGCUGAUGCACGAAAGCGUGGGGAUCGAACAGGAUUAGAUACCCUGGUAGUCCACGCCCUAAACGAUGAUGACUCGAUGUUUGCGAUAUACAGUAAGCGUCCAAGCGAAAGCGUUAAGUCAUCCACCUGGGGAGUACGCCCGCAAGGGUGAAACUCAAAGGAAUUGACGGGGGCCCGCACAAGCGGAGGAGCAUGUGGUUUAAUUCGAUGAUACGCGAGGAACCUUACCCGGGCUUGAAAGUUACUGAAGCAUCCAGAGACGGAUGCGUCCUUCGGGACAGGAAACUAGGUGCUGCAUGGCUGUCGUCAGCUCGUGCCGUGAGGUGUUGGGUUAAGUCCCGCAACGAGCGCAACCCCUAUGUUUAGUUGCCAGCACGUKAAGGUGGGGACUCUAAACAGACUGCCUGCGCAAGCAGAGAGGAAGGCGGGGACGACGUCAAGUCAUCAUGGCCCUUACGUCCGGGGCUACACACGUGCUACAAUGGAUGGUACAGCGGGCAGCUACACAGCAAUGUGAUGCCAAUCUCGAAAAGCCAUUCACAGUUCGGAUCGGGGUCUGCAACUCGACCCCGUGAAGUUGGAUUCGCUAGUAAUCGCGUAUCAGCAAUGACGCGGUGAAUACGUUCCCGGGCCUUGUACACACCGCCCGUCAAGCCAUGAAAGCUGGGGGUACCUAAA